Molecule: ribosomal RNA, 253 nt
Filed under: uncultured prokaryote
Description: partial 16S ribosomal RNA
Rfam family: Bacterial small subunit ribosomal RNA
Source: RNAcentral
ACAGAGGGUGCGAGCGUUGUCCGGAAUCACUGGGCGUAAAGGGCGCGUAGGUGGCGCUCCAAGUCGAUGGUGAAAGCUCGUCGCUCAACGACGAGUCGGCCACCGAUACUGGAGGGCUCGAGCACUGUAGGGGCAGAUGGAAUUCCGGGUGUAGCGGUGGAAUGCGUAGAGAUCCGGAAGAACACCGGUGGCGAAGGCGGUCUGCUGGGCAGUAGCUGACACUGAGGCGCGACAGCGUGGGGAGCAAACAGGA